Molecule: ribosomal RNA, 440 nt
Filed under: uncultured bacterium
Lineage: Bacteria
Description: partial 16S ribosomal RNA
Rfam family: Bacterial small subunit ribosomal RNA
Source: RNAcentral
CCUACGGGCGGCAGCAGUGGGGAAUAUUGCACAAUGGGGGAAACCCUGAUGCAGCGCCGCCGCGUGAGUGAAGAAGUAUUUCGGUAUGUAAAGCUCUAUCAGCAGGGAAGAAAAUGACGGUACCUGACUAAGAAGCCCCGGCUAACUACGUGCCAGCAGCCGCGGUAAUACGUAGGGGGCAAGCGUUAUCCGGAUUUACUGGGUGUAAAGGGAGCGUAGACGGCAGCACAAGUCUGGAGUGAAAUGCCGGGGCUCAACCCCGGAACUGCUUUGGAAACUGUGCAGCUAGAGUGCAGGAGAGGUAAGCGGAAUUGCUGGUGUAGCGGUGAAAUGCGUAGAUAUUAGGAGGAACACCAGGGGCGAAGGCGGCUUACUGGACUGUAACUGACGUUGAGGCUCGAAGGCGUGGGGAGCAAACAGGAUUAGAUACCCUGGUAGUC